CAUUGGAGACAGGUGGUGCAUGGUUGUCGUCAGCUCGUGUCGUGAGAUGUUGGGUUAAGUCCCGCAACGAGCGCAACCCCUAUUUCCAGUAGCCAGCAAGAAAGAUGGGAACUCUGGAGAGACUGCCCGGGAUAACUGGGAGGAAGGCGGGGAUGACGUCAAAUCAUCAUGCCCCUUAUGAUCAGGGCUACACACGUGCUACAAUGGCGUAAACAAAGGGAAGCGAAGUGGUGACACGAAGCAAAUCCGAAAAACAACGUCUCAGUUCGGAUUGUAGUCUGCAACUCGACUACAUGAAGCUGGAAUCGCUAGUAAUCGCGAAUCAGAAUGUCGCGGUGAAUACGUUCCCGGGUCUUGUACACACCGCCCGCCACACCAUGGGAGUCGGAAAUGCCCGAAGUCAGUGACCCAACCGAGAGGAGGGAGCUGCCGAAGGUGGAGCCGGUAACUGGGGUGAAGUCGUAACAAGGUAGCCGUAUCGGAAGGUGCGGCUGGAUCACCUCCUU
Molecule: ribosomal RNA, 506 nt
Filed under: uncultured bacterium
Lineage: Bacteria
Description: bacterial SSU rRNA
Rfam family: Bacterial small subunit ribosomal RNA
Source: RNAcentral